RNAcentral lists this long non-coding RNA (1002 nucleotides) under Oryza sativa Indica Group (long-grained rice). RNAcentral describes it as "lncRNA OsZS97_06G021580". Lineage: Eukaryota; Viridiplantae; Streptophyta; Magnoliopsida; Poales; Poaceae. The record is from RNAcentral.
CCAGGCUAUAAAACCCCGCUUAACCCUCCUGUUCUCUCCACAGCAAACUUCCCAGAACUUGCUCCCCUCCACUUCCCCCCCAAAUCCCUCUCUGCUCCUUCUGCCAUGGAUGAUCUCACUGCUCGACCCCUGCUUGACUCUGUAGUCAUCUCUGCUACCGGUGAAAUCGAGAGGCGCAGAGAACGUUUCUCUGCCCGCUCCCUGGUAGCCUGGCAAGUUGGGGCCCUUGGGGACAAGGUUGAAAUUGGAGUGUUUGCUGAUGACAUGCGUUCUGCCUUCCACAUCAGGAGAGCUGACAUUCAGUUCACCAAAUUCCACCCCGAAGUUUUCUUCAUCACCUGCUCAAAUCAAAGUGAUCGUGAUGCCAUCCUCCGUCAGCCAAGGCUCACUGCUCCUUCUGGCAGGGUAUACCUUUUCCGCCCCUGGGAUGAAAGCCUGCAUGGCAUCCCAGCUCGCUACCGCUACCGUGCCCGGCUCUGCAUUGAGGGCGUUCCCAUGCACGGGCGAACUGAUGAAGCGGCGGCGAAGGUGAUUGGCCGCAAAUGUGCUAUCCACUAUGUGGAGGAGUACUCUAGGCGCGGCAACUACAACCGCACCUAUGACAUGUGGGUGUGGACGGGCGAGCCAAGGGCCAUUCCCCGUGGUGGCACCUUCGCCAUCACUGACGCCGAUGAGGAAGGACUGCCCACGGACAUCCCCUUGCCAGAGCUAGAUCCCCUCCGCAACCCCCUACCUUCCGAGCCAAAGAAGGGCUGGACCUACAAUGUCCUGGUCCACGUUGAUACUCUAGAAGACCUCCACACCCGCAAGGCUCGUGCUUACAAAUGGGACUAUGAAGUUCAGGAUGAUGUUAGGAUGCUGCGGGAAGAGUUGCAGCUGCUUCAAGACGUUUCAGAUGAUGAUGGCUUUUUCAAGGUUAUUGCCAAGUUCAACGUUCCACUGAAGAAUCUGUGCUUUCUUUCGGCAUCAUCCGAAAGUGAGCUGAGCUAUACAGAAAUAUGA